UGGCUAGCAUUGCUUUCAUUUGAACUAGAGGCGGAACUAUCAAUAAUAUAUCUAUUUAGUGAAACAAGUGGUUUGGAUGCAUCACUGCAAAAUUACAAAAUGUCUAGUGACUUUUCAACGCCUUUAUCCGACCAGCUAGAAGAUUUCUUUCUUUUUUGGACAAUAUUGAUCACUUCAAAAGUGGAGAUGGCUACCGCCUUGGGGGCUGAUGAGGG
This 215-nucleotide long non-coding RNA is filed under the name Capsicum annuum. RNAcentral describes it as "long non-coding RNA (CANN_LNC020507)". The record is from RNAcentral. Lineage: Eukaryota; Viridiplantae; Streptophyta; Magnoliopsida; Solanales; Solanaceae.